GAGAGCUGAGGCACGCACAGACAGAUAAGCAGACUGUUAAAAUCAUAUUGUCAAAGGUUACAAACGCUUUUGCCUUGGAGAAUAUUUGUCUUUUUACGGUGAUGUUGGAAAAAAGAAGACUUCAUUAAAGGACAAGAAAAGUCAA
Eleginops maclovinus (Patagonian blennie) is the source of this 145-nucleotide long non-coding RNA. RefSeq lists it as uncharacterized. Lineage: Eukaryota; Metazoa; Chordata; Actinopteri; Perciformes; Eleginopidae. The transcript has 2 exons. The record is from RefSeq and is a predicted model, not a curated record.